Molecule: ribosomal RNA, 513 nt
Filed under: uncultured bacterium
Lineage: Bacteria
Description: bacterial SSU rRNA
Rfam family: Bacterial small subunit ribosomal RNA
Source: RNAcentral
GAUUAUGGCUCAGAUGAACGCUGGCGGCAGGCCUAACACAUGCAAGUCGAACGGUAACAGGAGAAGCUUGCUCUUGCUGACGAGUGGCGGACGGGUGAGUAAUGUCUGGGAAACUGCCUGAUGGAGGGGGGAUAACUACUGGAAACGGUAGCUAAUACCGCAUAACGUCGCAAGACCAAAGAGGGGGACCUUCGGGCCUCUUGCCAUCGGAUGUGCCCAGAUGGGAUUAGCUAGUAGGUGGGGUAACGGCUCACCUAGGCGACGAUCCCUAGCUGGUCUGAGAGGAUGACCAGCCACACUGGAACUGAGACACGGUCCAGACUCCUACGGGAGGCAGCAGUGGGGAAUAUUGCACAAUGGGCGCAAGCCUGAUGCAGCCAUGCCGCCGUGUAUGAAGAAGGCCUUCGGGUUGUAAAGUACUUUCAGCGGGGAGGAAGGGAGUAAAGUUAAUACCUUUGCUCAUUGACCGUUACCCGCAGAAGUAAGCACCGGCUAACUCGUGCCAGCCGCCGC